Molecule: long non-coding RNA, 1224 nt
Organism: Tripterygium wilfordii
Lineage: Eukaryota; Viridiplantae; Streptophyta; Magnoliopsida; Celastrales; Celastraceae
Exons: 3
Source: RefSeq, a predicted model, not a curated record
AGAGAGAAGAAACCAGUUCUUCCGUCUUCGCCUCUUCCCUAGUUGGCAGUUCCCCUAAACGGCUAAACUAGUUCUUCGCCUCUUCCAGCAUCUAGUCUUGUAAUCUCCAUCUGAAUUUCAAGAUCUCUAUUUUCAUUCAGGAGAGAUAGCAUCAUGGCAGCUAAAGUGGAAAGCAUGAAAUCCAUUAUUUGGAGUUGAAUCGAGAAAGGUGUACUGAAUCAUGUUAGUGGAAUUGCUGGAUUGCACAUUGUGUCUUGGCACUUUAUAGGAGCAAAAAGCUUGGGAAGAGUGAUUUUGUUGCAUUCCAGGUAAUUUAUUUUUUUGAGAUAUACACACAAUUACACAAACUGAUAAAGCAUUAUUUAUGUUGCUUACUUUGUCCAUGCAUCAUCUAGAAGUCGAACUCUGAACAUUCAUUGUUUUAAACGCAGUAUGCUUAGGUAUCUCAAAAGAAAAUCACCUCCUCCACAAGGAGGUGAUAUUUCUUCUUCUACCAAGCAAAAAUGCCCGGAAAUCAACUUAGAUGAUCUUCAUUCAGAUCCUGGACUACGACCUCGAAUUUUGGAUUAUCAUCCUAACAAUCGAGAUCAAGUCCGUAGAGCAUAUUUGCAAAGGGGUCCUUGCCAACCUCUUAACCAUGAUUUUCCACUGACAAACUCUGGACAAUAACAAAGACGAUUUAACCAAGCUUGGUUUACUGAAUUCCCUACCUGGUUGGAGUAUAGUGUAUCUAAAGAUGUUGCAUAUUGUCUAUGUUGCUAUCUUUUCAAACAAGAUAUUGGACGUCAAGCUGGUGGUGAUCAUUUUGUGGGUGAAGGCUUUUCAAAUUGGAAGAGUUAUAAAAAAUUAGCUCUUCAUGUGGGAGGUCCCAAUAGUGCACACAAUAAGGCUUGGGGGAAAUGUCAAGAUUUGACGAAUCAAAAGCAACAUAUUGAGACCAUUGUUUGUAGGCAAUCAGAUCAAGCUCAAGCUGAAUAUAGACUACGCUUGAAUACUACAAUUGAGGUUGCUCGAUAUCUUUCAGUACAAGGAUUGGCAUUCCGUGGUCAUGAUGAAAGUGAAAGUUCAUCUAAUCCGGGGAAUUUUAUUCAUCUUUUGAAGGCCUUUGGUAGAAUUAAUGAAGAUGUCAAAGCAACAACUUUUGAAAAUGCUCCACAGAAUCAAAAGUUGAUAGCUCCAAAAAUUCAGAAGGAUAUUGUAAAUGCAUUUGCAAUGUAAACUUUA